Molecule: small nucleolar RNA, 66 nt
Organism: Ruditapes philippinarum (Manila clam)
Lineage: Eukaryota; Metazoa; Mollusca; Bivalvia; Venerida; Veneridae
Product: small nucleolar RNA SNORD18
Exons: 1
Source: RefSeq, a predicted model, not a curated record
GGUAAAUGAUGAGAUUUUGGUCCGUGUUACUGAAACACAUGAUCAGAUACCUACCAACCUGAUACC